GACCACGUAGCUCAGUUGGCAGAGCAUUGGGCUGGUAUUCCAAAGGUCGUAGGUUCGAUUCCCACAGUAGCCA
RNAcentral lists this transfer RNA (73 nucleotides) under Paramuricea clavata. It matches the Rfam family "tRNA". Rfam says of the family: Transfer RNA (tRNA) molecules are approximately 80 nucleotides in length. Their secondary structure includes four short double-helical elements and three loops (D, anti-codon, and T loops). Lineage: Eukaryota; Metazoa; Cnidaria; Anthozoa; Malacalcyonacea; Plexauridae. The record is from Rfam by way of RNAcentral.